Molecule: ribosomal RNA, 1346 nt
Filed under: uncultured bacterium
Lineage: Bacteria
Description: partial 16S ribosomal RNA
Rfam family: Bacterial small subunit ribosomal RNA
Source: RNAcentral
GACGAACGCUGGCGGCGUGCUUAACACAUGCAAGUCGAACGGAAAGGCCCUGCUUUUGUGGGGUGCUCGAGUGGCGAACGGGUGAGUAACACGUGAGUAACCUGCCCUUGACUUUGGGAUAACUUCAGGAAACUGGGGCUAAUACCGGAUAGGAGCUCCUGCUGCAUGGUGGGGGUUGGAAAGUUUCGGCGGUUGGGGAUGGACUCGCGGCUUAUCAGCUUGUUGGUGGGGUAGUGGCUUACCAAGGCUUUGACGGGUAGCCGGCCUGAGAGGGUGACCGGCCACAUUGGGACUGAGAUACGGCCCAGACUCCUACGGGAGGCAGCAGUGGGGAAUAUUGCACAAUGGGCGGAAGCCUGAUGCAGCAACGCCGCGUGCGGGAUGACGGCCUUCGGAUUGUAAACCGCUUUCGCCUGUGACGAAGCGUGAGUGACGGUAAUGGGUAAAGAAGCACCGGCUAACUACGUGCCAGCAGCCGCGGUGAUACGUAGGGUGCGAGCGUUGUCCGGAUUUAUUGGGCGUAAAGGGCUCGUAGGUGGUUGAUCGCGUCGGAAGUGUAAUCUUGGGGCUUAACCCUGAGCGUGCUUUCGAUACGGGUUGACUUGAGGAAGGUAGGGGAGAAUGGAAUUCCUGGUGGAGCGGUGGAAUGCGCAGAUAUCAGGAGGAACACCAGUGGCGAAGGCGGUUCUCUGGGCCUUUCCUGACGCUGAGGAGCGAAAGCGUGGGGAGCGAACAGGCUUAGAUACCCUGGUAGUCCACGCUGUAAACGGUGGGUACUAGGUGUGGGGUCCAUUCCACGGGUUCCGUGCCGUAGCUAACGCUUUAAGUACCCCGCCUGGGGAGUACGGCCGCAAGGCUAAAACUCAAAGGAAUUGACGGGGCCCCGCACAAGCGGCGGAGCAUGCGGAUUAAUUCGAUGCAACGCGUAGAACCUUACCUGGGUUUGACAUGGAUCGGGAGUGCUCAGAGAUGGGUGUGCCUCUUUUGGGGUCGGUUCACAGGUGGUGCAUGGCUGUCGUCAGCUCGUGUCGUGAGAUGUUGGGUUAAGUCCCGCAACGAGCGCAACCCUUGUUCACUGUUGCCAGCACGUUAUGGUGGGGACUCAGUGGAGACCGCCGGGGUCAACUCGGAGGAAGGUGGGGAUGACGUCAAGUCAUCAUGCCCCUUAUGUCCAGGGCUUCACGCAUGCUACAAUGGCUGGUACAGAGAGUGGCGAGCCUGUGAGGGUGAGCGAAUCUCGGAAAGCCGGUCUCAGUUCGGAUUGGGGUCUGCAACUCGACCUCAUGAAAUCGGAGUCGCUAGUAAUCGCAGAUCAGCAACGCUGCGGUGAAUACAAUCCCGGGGCU